Molecule: ribosomal RNA, 400 nt
Filed under: uncultured bacterium
Lineage: Bacteria
Description: bacterial SSU rRNA
Rfam family: Bacterial small subunit ribosomal RNA
Source: RNAcentral
UGGGGGAUAUUGCACAAUGGAGGAAACUCUGAUGCAGCGACGCCGCGUGGGUGAAGAAGUAUUUCGGUAUGUAAAGCCCUAUCAGCAGGGACGAUAAUGACGGUACCUGACUAAGAAGCCCCGGCUAACUACGUGCCAGCAGCCGCGGUAAUACGUAGGGGGCAAGCGUUAUCCGGAUUUACUGGGUGUAAAGGGAGCGUAGACGGAGAGGUAAGUCAGAUGUGGAAGCCCCGGGCAUAACCCGGGGACUGCAUUUGAGACUGUUUUUCUAGAGUGCUGGAGAGGUAAGCGGAAUUCCUGGUGUAGCGGUGAAAUGCUUAGAUAUCAGGAGGAACACCGGUGGCGAAGGCGGCUUACUGGACAGUAACUGACGUUGAGGCUCGAAGGCGUGGGGAGCAAA